GACCCGUCUUGAAACACGGACCAAGGAGUCUAACAUAUGCGCGAGCUAAUGGGUGGAAAACCCAAAAGCGCAAUAAAAGUAAAAGCUGUUUCGGACAGCCGAGGUACGAUCCUAUGUUCCUAUGUGUUCAUGGGCGCAGUACCGUCCCGUCCCGACCGCAUGUCGGUAGGGCGGAGAUAGAGUGCAUACGUUGGGACCCGAAAGAUGGUGAACUAUGCCUGAGCAGAGCGAAGCCAGAGGAAACUCUGGUGGAGGUUCGUAGCGGUUCUGACGUGCAAAUCGAUCGUCAGACUUGGGUAUAGGGGCGAAAGACUAAUCGAACCAUCUAGUAGCUGGUUCCUUCCGA
Molecule: ribosomal RNA, 346 nt
Filed under: Nematoda environmental sample
Lineage: Eukaryota; Metazoa; Nematoda
Description: LSU rRNA
Rfam family: Eukaryotic large subunit ribosomal RNA
Source: RNAcentral